UUUCCGUAGGUGAACUUGCGGAAGGAUCAUUCAUAAUAAAGUGUUUUAUGGCACUUUUUAAAAAUCCAUAUCCACCUUGUGUGCAAUGUUAGAUCUCGUCAAUCUUGGCGAGAUUUUUAUACAUCAACUCAUUCUUUAACUAAUUUGUCUGAAAAAUAUUAUGAAUACUUAAUUCAAAAUACAACUUUCAACAACGGAUCUCUUGGCUCUC
RNAcentral lists this unclassified non-coding RNA (211 nucleotides) under plant metagenome. RNAcentral's name for it is "partial contains small subunit ribosomal RNA, internal transcribed spacer 1, and 5.8S ribosomal RNA". The record is from RNAcentral.